Molecule: ribosomal RNA, 494 nt
Filed under: uncultured bacterium
Lineage: Bacteria
Description: bacterial SSU rRNA
Rfam family: Bacterial small subunit ribosomal RNA
Source: RNAcentral
ACUCAAAGGAAUAGACGGGGACCCGCACAAGCAGCGGAGCAUGUGGUUUAAUUCGAAGCAACGCGAAGAACCUUACCAAGACUUGACAUCCUCUGAACGGCGUAGAGAUACGCUUUCCUUCGGGCAGAGAGACAGGUGGUGCAUGGUUGUCGUCAGCUCGUGUCGUGAGAUGUUCGGUUAAGUCCGGCAACGAGCGCAACCCUUAUGAUAUGUUGCCAAUAUUAAGUUAGGAACUCAUAUCAGACUGCCGUGGAUAAACACGGAGGAAGGUGGGGAUGACGUCAAAUCAUCAUGCCCCUUACGUCUUGGGCUACACACGUGCUACAAUGGGCGCUACAAAGAGCAGCAAGCCGGUAACGGUAAGCGAAUCUCAAAAAAGCGUUCUCAGUUCGGAUUGAGGGCUGCAACCCGCCCUCAUGAAGCAGGAGUUGCUAGUAAUCCCGGAUCAGAACGCCGGGGUGAAUGCGUUCCCGGGUCUUGUACACACCGCCCGU